CAUUUUUAAAUACUUUUAGUUCACAUUUUUUAAUGUUUAAAAACUAUGUUAACAGAGCAGUUAUAGAACAGAACUUCUUAUAUUUCUUUAUUUACACCACACUCUGAAAAAAAAAACCCAGUUCUAUUUGAUUAACUAUGAAUAGCAAAGUUUUGUGACUUGUGACUCACUUAAAUCACCCAUCUGAAAUUCAUUUACAAGGUUUUUACAUUAAUAAAACAGUAGUGUGGUACAUGUAUUGGACUCAGAUGAAGUCUAAAGUACACUGGACUCUAGAGAGUGGAUUACAUACCAACGACCAAGAUUCAAGUGUUUGGGGAAAAAAAUACCUUAGACAGUCUAUGUUGGCGUCAACACUAAAAUAAAAGGCAAACAUGCAGGACUUUCAAAGCUUGAUUAGAUAAUGGUUCUUUGUUUUCUUUCCUUCAAAUUUGUGCUCAUAAUUAAUAUUCAGGUUCCAAGUUUACAUUGAGAGAACUAUGUUACCUGGGAGAGAAUGUAAAUUUUUCUAAUUCCCAAACAAAACCACUAAUUUCUAGGAAACAUUUAUUGUUUAUAUGCAGAUCCUAGAGACUUCUAUUUCAGUGCAGAUCAACAACUUCAAAAAUAUACAGCCUCCUAUUUAUUUACAAUAAUAUUUACAUACAAAUGAAGUAUUUCCUGCAAUAAGCCUCAGCUGCAUAGAUUCUUCCUUUAAAAACGUAAAUUUGAGCCUGUAUACAGAUGGGCCCAGUUUCAUAGCCCUUCCUUAGAUAAAAGCCUAAAGAAGGAAAAUGUCUGCACCUUGUGAACUUUACAUAUUUUGCAAGAACUUUCUCUUUGAGAUUUAGUGAUAGUUUUUAGUUGUUAGACACCCCACCUUCAGCUUGUACCUGAAAGCUUUAUCUCGUUAUAAAUAAUUCACUGUAAUUUAGGGGAAGUAUGUCCUGUUGCUAAAGGAUUCUCAAACCUGCCAUCCCCAAGGAAAAUCAUGUAUUAGUAUUGCUAAAUGAUGGUCUGUAUAUUCUUUGUUUUGAAGGUGGCUAGAUGUUUGCUGUAAACUUGAAUGGGAGAAUUAUAUUCUUAAAGUUUACACCCCCUAUAAGCCUAAAGCCAUUUAAAUUGAUAAACUGAGAGAGACUAAUAGAUUUUGCUCUAAGGUAUAAAAUCCAUUAUCUGAUCAUAUUCCUGACCUCCCCCCGACUCCAACUAAAUGUGCCAUAGUCCAACACUGUGCCUCACUGAAUUGGAACUCAGUAUUUCAUUCUUUUGAGAGCAGUUUGUAGCUCCUUAAGCAGAGCAGACCUUUCAGUAGAGAAUUCGCUUUAAAAGGAGGACAGGAUUAUCACCACACGAUUAACACAAACACUGGAGAACUUCUGACACAAAUUCAGUAUUUCUUCUAAGUCUGCAUUUACAAAGGGUCUUUUAUUUUAAUUUCUUUCACAACUGCCUCGCCCCAACCAAAGCCUCACUUUCAUUUCCUCACAGCUUUAAAAAAUAAAAUAUUAUCAUGCCUCAGCCCGAGGUAACACCGAGUGCAGGCAGCCUGUGUUUAGGAAUUUGCACCUGCGCUGCUAUUUUCAACGAGAAGGGGAUAACCAGGUGGCAGCGCUGGAUUCACUCACUUUCUUGCCAUUGCAGAGACCCCUGCCGCCAGGCUCCUUUCCUCCCCUCCCUAAAGCCUGGCUCCUGUAUGUUGCACCAUGAGUCCUAGGAAUCAUCUGGUGAGGGAGGACUAAUGGGAAGUAAAAGGGAGACUCAUUGGCUUAGGGUGGUUCUCAAACUUGAUGCGCUUUAGAAUCAUUUGCUGAGUCCCUCCCUGAGAGCUUCUGACUUCACCAUGUCUGGGAGGGGGCUGAGAAUCUGCAUUCUAAUGAGGUCCCCGAUGAUGCUGAUGCUACUGGUCUAGGGGCCACACUUUGAGAACCACUGGCUUAGAGGCAUGAAUCAAGCUCUAGAAAGCAGUCAGUUCCAGGGUAAUAGUCUUAGGUGCUCGCCGAAGCACUGAGGAAUCUUACCACAACCCUGUGUCCACCACAAGCCCUAUCACCAUCACCCAUCUGGGUGCUUCUUUUUCUCAACAGGGUCUGUAACUGUAAAAAAGGAAAGUGGGUGGAGAGGUUUUUUUUUCCCCCUUUUUUCUUGUUUUCUAACCUCCCAGCUUAUUCCUGGAGAGUUAAAACACAGUUACUAGCACUAAAAACAUUAAAAGUGCUGCGCGCUGGCCUCAAUGACUGGUACAUUGGAGAAGCUAUGCAGCAGCAUCCUUUUCUGUGGUGGGCAGGGCAGGAGAUGAACCAUAGGAGCCAAAAGUCAGACAAACAGAAGAAGGCACACCAAGCCUGAACCCUCCGGACAACAGCAGAGUUACCAGCUGAGGGAUGUCCCUGGAGGUUUCUGACCCAUGAGAGGCCCCCUCACCCUCCUUCACCCUCCUCCUACCACCAAGCUCUCCAGCAGUCAUGGACUUAUUCCUCCCCGUUUUUACUGGACACCAUGUUUCAGGCCAAUCUGGUCACCUGUAGUCUGGUGGCAUCUCUACCCCUACUGUCCAGUAGGUGGGAUGUGGCUGGGAUGGACAGUCCAGAUUCUACUAACAGGCAACUCUGAACAAACACCCUCCCUGGAAACAAUAUUAUAUUUGAUGGUUAGAUUCUUUAGCAAACCUAUUACAUUAUUCGAUGUCAGCUAACCUAUUGGUUUGAUCAUCUUUUCCAGCUGCUCUAGGGGCCUAACCACCAUGGAUAACCUGGUCUCUAAAGGAAAAUACAUUCCAGGUUGCAAACAACCAACUGACAACCUUUUGGAAUAUGAUCUCCUUAUACACUGGGGCUGCCUGUGCCUAAACACAGUAGAUUUCCCUCCUGUGCGUAUUUCAUCAGCCCCACUUCCAAUAAGUAACAUUAAGUAAAUUAGGGAUUGACAGUAUUCUGUGUUACAAUAACUAGAGAACAGUUCUAAGUCCAAAGUGUGGAACUGGCACUGUUCACUAGUAUAGAGAUCCUACCUACCAAAGGAAAACGUGCUGCUCCCCAUGCCUAGGGUAUAGUAUUCUUUAAUCUACUAAUUUAGCAGAAAAACUUCCAUAGCACUUGACUGUGCUGUUUAAAUUCGACCUAACAUCUGUGAUACAUGUAUUUUUGGCUACCAAUUAACUAUUCUGAAUAAGAAUAAGAGCAGUAUACUUUACAGCUAAUCUCACACAAAGGAUGUAACUAAUCAGUGAUAUUUGACGAAUUAUGGUAGGGUCUAUUAUAUUCAGUCAACAACAAAUUUAGAGAAACAUACAAAGGUUUUUAAAAAUAUGGGUGGUGUCACACAGAUCAACAACACUGUGCCUCCUCUAAAUAAAUCUAUUUUAAAUAAAUAUUCCUUGUAUUGACACAUGAAACCCAGAGGCCCAAAAAUAUCACUACACAUCCCAGUUAAUGAUAAGGUUCUAAAUUGACUUUGUGAGGGUAAAAUGAAUUGCUAUAAAGUAACAAGGAAAAUAGAAAGUAGCAUAAUAUAGCUUGCAAACUAAAUUAUGUAUUUUUAAAGGUACAGUCAUCCCACUACCUGGCUAUUUCAUUACUUGGUGCUCUAGACAAGCUCCCAAGAACUGACUGGAUCUUGGCUUGUUCUGUUUCUGUCAUUGCUAAUAUAAUAUGGAAAACAUUGCUGAAAAGAACAGAGAUGGCCAUGGAUAUGGCUAGGUUAGGUAUUCAUAUCCAAAUAUCUGAACUCUAACCUAAUGUGGAUAUGAUUCUGUAGCAUUAUAUUAAAAGCUAUGAUGAUGCAAUGCAGGAAAUAACCUUUCAUUCUCCCCCCUAGAGGAUCACGACAGGUGCUUCAAUGCCUGCCUUAUCUAUGGGACAGUAGUGUGAUUCUCAGUGAGAGUGAAGGCCUUUGGGGAUUUGAGUCAGGAAGGGAACAUGGCUAAGUGCCUGGAAACUCUGCCAACAGUCUGCGGUUAGAUUCUACUUGUCUCUGGAUAAGAAAUCUGUGCUCAGUGAACUUAUGUGUUUGGAAAAUUUAACCAGAAUAUAGAGGAAGCAUAAGUCCUGUUUCAAGAGACCAGCUCACGGAGCAUGCACAUUUCUCACCAUAGGCAAGCUAUGGACAAUUCAAUCACAUGGGAUGGCCCCACUUAGGGGAAUGCAGUUCUGGGUUUCCUUGCUAUCCCUAUUCUUUUUCAGCUACAAACUCUCUUCUUUUUCAGUCUCUUCAGUUUCCUUGUGCUCCCUUUAGGAGAGGGACAAGGGUAAGAGUACCAGGCAACUCUGUCCUCCUGCAUGGACAGUUGAGACGGGCAGUAAUGGCACAGUCCUUGGUUGGGGAAGAGAAGAGGAGACAGCACAGACACUGAGACCCCCUUGUCUUCCUCAUCUGGGGGAAGGAAGGUACUCAGUGAUUCUGUCAGAAGCUCUUCACAAAGACUAUCUCUGAGGGUUUUUUUUUUUUUUUUUUCACAAGACUAGAUGGAGAAUUAAUGAAGAAGAAAUAGAAAUGAGGCUUAUUUAAGGUACAAAAUUCUUGUAUUUGUAAUAACCUAGAUUUAUAGAUAUAAAACAAGUCUUUUAAAGACUUCCCUAAAAUACUCAAUAUAAAACAGGAGUUACUUAUCCU
This 4590-nucleotide long non-coding RNA is filed under the name Homo sapiens (human). RNAcentral describes it as "HSALNT0188180". The record is from RNAcentral. Lineage: Eukaryota; Metazoa; Chordata; Mammalia; Primates; Hominidae.